UACGUAGGGUGCAAGCGUUAAUCGGAAUUACUGGGCGUAAAGCGUGCGCAGGCGGUGAUGUAAGACAGAUGUGAAAUCCCCGGGCUCAACCUGGGAACUGCAUUUGUGACUGCAUCGCUGGAGUGCGGCAGAGGGGGAUGGAAUUCCGCGUGUAGCAGUGAAAUGCGUAGAUAUGCGGAGGAACACCGAUGGCGAAGGCAAUCCCCUGGGCCUGCACUGACGCUCAUGCACGAAAGCGUGGGGAGC
This 246-nucleotide ribosomal RNA is filed under the name uncultured bacterium. Its description in RNAcentral is "partial 16S ribosomal RNA". It matches the Rfam family "Bacterial small subunit ribosomal RNA", at positions 524 to 769 of the family's 1533-position model. The record is from RNAcentral.